Molecule: ribosomal RNA, 301 nt
Filed under: uncultured bacterium
Lineage: Bacteria
Description: partial 16S ribosomal RNA
Rfam family: Bacterial small subunit ribosomal RNA
Source: RNAcentral
CAGUAGCCGCGGGAAAACGGAGGAUGCAAGCGUUAAUCGGAAUUACUGGGCGUGAAGCGUGCGUAGGCGGUUCGUUAAGUCUGUUGUGAAAGCCCCGGGCUCAACCUGGGAAUGGCAAUGGAUACUGGCGAGCUAGAGUAUGGCAGAGGGGGGUGGAAUUCCGCGUGUAGCAGUGAAAUGCGUAGAUAUGCGGAGGAACGCCGAUGGCGAAGGCAGCCCCCUGGGCCAAUACUGACGCUCAUGCACGAAAGCGUGGGGAGCAAACAGGAUUAGAUACCCCUGUAGUCCCUGUCUCUUAUAC